This 469-nucleotide ribosomal RNA is filed under the name uncultured bacterium. RNAcentral's name for it is "partial 16S ribosomal RNA". It matches the Rfam family "Bacterial small subunit ribosomal RNA", at positions 28 to 507 of the family's 1533-position model. The record is from RNAcentral.
GACGAACGCUGGCGGCGUGCUUAACACAUGCAAGUCGAACGGAAAGGCCCUGCUUGCAGGGUGCUCGAGUGGCGAACGGGUGAGUAACACGUGGGUGAUCUGCCCCUUACUUUGGGAUAAGCCUGGGAAACUGGGUCUAAUACUGGAUAGGACCAUGCUGUAGGUGGUGUGGUGGAAAGAUUAGUUUCGGUAAGGGAUGAGCUCGCGGCCUAUCAGCUUGUUGGUGGGGUAAUGGCCUACCAAGGCGUCGACGGGUAGCCGGCCUGAGAGGGUGGACGGCCACAUUGGGACUGAGAUACGGCCCAGACUCCUACGGGAGGCAGCAGAGGGGAAUAGUGCACAAUGGGCGCAAGCCGGAUGCAGCGACGCCGCGUGGGGGAUGACGGCCUUCGGGUUGUAAACUCCUUUCAGCCAUGACGAAGCCCUUGUGGUGACGGUAGUGGUAGAAGAAGCACCGGCUAACUACGUG